Molecule: long non-coding RNA, 327 nt
Filed under: Nicotiana benthamiana
Lineage: Eukaryota; Viridiplantae; Streptophyta; Magnoliopsida; Solanales; Solanaceae
Description: long non-coding RNA (NBEN_LNC037505)
Source: RNAcentral
CAUCUUGUCCACAACAACAACUACAACAACAACAACAACCCAGUAUAAUCCCACUUAGUGGGGUCGGGAGAGGGUAGUAUGUACGCAAACCUUACCCCUACCCUGGGGUAGAGAGGCUGUUUCCAAAUAUACCCCGGCAUCCUUCCCUCCAAGAACUUCUCACCUUGCUCUUGGGGAGACUCGAACUCACAACCUCUCGGUUGGAAGUGAGAGUUGCUUACCGUUAGAGCAACCCCUCUUGUCUUGUCAUUCAAACUUAUUUGUUGGUUACGCAACAUUGUUAUAAACUUUUGCUACUACUCGAUUGCUCAACCCAUGAGGCCCAGC